Prionailurus viverrinus (fishing cat) is the source of this 368-nucleotide long non-coding RNA. RefSeq lists it as uncharacterized. Lineage: Eukaryota; Metazoa; Chordata; Mammalia; Carnivora; Felidae. The transcript is spliced from 3 exons. The record is from RefSeq and is a predicted model, not a curated record.
CCUACCUGCCCAAGCUUGGAGGCUGGCUGCAGACCUGGUCUCCCGCCCCUCCCGCCAUGCUGCCUGCUCCGCACUGGGGAUGGCGAGUCCUGCUUCAUGGGCUUACCAGCGGAGUUAAGAUUAAGAAACUGAGGCUAUCUUGGAGUCCAUGAAGGCACCAGUUGCUGUGGCCCUUGGAGCCUGGUCUGAAACCAAAGUCCCCGAAGAAAGCAAGGGCCUGCUAUGGCAGUGUGAGCUCAGGCGGAGUCCUCGAAUGUGCUGACCACCCUUGGUGCGGACAAGGCCGCCAACUUGCGGAGCCCAGAAGGACCCAGUGUGGCUCCCAAACAGACCAGGAGCUCCUCCUGGGCCCCUCUAGCCGAGGCCAG